CUUCAUGCAACCCUACAUUCGGCCAAAAAUUGACACAAAAUACUCGAGGGUUUCGCUAAGGAGACGAGUGACACGCGGCGCGGCUGCUACCAAACGCGUCCGAUUGGUUAGCGACGACAGCAGCUCCAGUGCGGAGGAAUCCGUUAGCGUGGACAAAACGGCACUGCCAGACACUGUCGCCGACAACUGCCCGCUGGAUGUGGACGAGUUUGACCGGAUGUGGCAAGGCGAGUCUGGACGUGCAGCCACAGCAUCACUAGCGUCACCGGCCAUGGAUUCUGCGCUAGUGCUGGAUCCCGCAACGAGCAUGGAGAGCAAUUAUUCUGCAUUUUUUAACACUCUGAAAGGCAUGAUGGUCUAUUUGACACCGGAACAACGCAUCGGCGUGCAGAAACGCUUGAUCAAAGCCUUGGCGGAAUUCACAGCGGACGUCAUGUAACAGUCGCGC
Molecule: long non-coding RNA, 448 nt
Organism: Paramacrobiotus metropolitanus
Lineage: Eukaryota; Metazoa; Tardigrada; Eutardigrada; Parachela; Macrobiotidae
Exons: 3
Source: RefSeq, a predicted model, not a curated record